UUUAUUGGAGAGUUUGAUCCUGGCUCAGGAUGAACGCUGGCGGCGUGCCUAAUACAUGCAAGUCGAGCGAAUGGAUUAAGAGCUUGCUCUUAUGAAGUUAGCGGCGGACGGGUGAGUAACACGUGGGUAACCUGCCCAUAAGACUGGGAUAACUCCGGGAAACCGGGGCUAAUACCGGAUAACAUUUUGAACUGCAUGGUUCGAAAUUGAAAGGCGGCUUCGGCUGUCACUUAUGGAUGGACCCUCGUCUCAUUAGCU
Molecule: ribosomal RNA, 258 nt
Filed under: Bacillus thuringiensis
Lineage: Bacteria; Bacillati; Bacillota; Bacilli; Caryophanales; Bacillaceae
Description: partial 16S ribosomal RNA
Rfam family: Bacterial small subunit ribosomal RNA
Source: RNAcentral